CAGGCUUAACACAUGCAAGUCGAGGGGCAGCAUUUCAGUUUGCUUGCAAACUGGAGAUGGCGACCGGCGCACGGGUGAGUAACACGUAUCCGACCUGCCGAUAACUCGGGGAUAGCCUUUCGAAAGAAAGAUUAAUACCCGAUGGUAUAAUCAGACCGCAUGGUCUUGUUAUUAAAGAAUUUCGGUUAUCGAUGGGGAUGCGUUCCAUUAGGCAGUUGGUGAGGUAACGGCUCACCAAACCUUCGAUGGAUAGGGGUUCUGAGAGGAAGGUCCCCCACAUUGGAACUGAGACACGGUCCAAACUCCUACGGGAGGCAGCAGUGAGGAAUAUUGGUCAAUGGGCGCAGGCCUGAACCAGCCAAGUAGCGUGAAGGAUGACUGCCCUAUGGGUUGUAAACUUCUUUUAUAUGGGAAUAAAGUUUUCCACGUGUGGAAUUUUGUAUGUACCAUAUGAAUAAGGAUCGGCUAACUCCGUGCCAGCAGCCGCGGUAAUACGGAGGAUCCGAGCGUUAUCCGGAUUUAUUGGGUUUAAAGGGAGCGUAGGUGGACAGUUAAGUCAGUUGUGAAAGUUUGCGGCUCAACCGUAAAAUUGCAGUUGAUACUGGCUGUCUUGAGUACAGUAGAGGUGGGCGGAAUUCGUGGUGUAGCGGUGAAAUGCUUAGAUAUCACGAAGAACUCCGAUUGCGAAGGCAGCUCACUGGACUGCAACUGACACUGAUGCUCGAAAGUGUGGGUAUCAAACAGGAUUAGAUACCCUGGUAGUCCACACAGUAAACGAUGAAUACUCGCUGUUUGCGAUAUACAGUAAGCGGCCAAGCGAAAGCAUUAAGUAUUCCACCUGGGGAGUACGCCGGCAACGGUGAAACUCAAAGGAAUUGACGGGGGCCCGCACAAGCGGAGGAACAUGUGGUUUAAUUCGAUGAUACGCGAGGAACCUUACCCGGGCUUAAAUUGCAUUUGAAUAUAUUGGAAACAGUAUAGCCGUAAGGCAAAUGUGAAGGUGCUGCAUGGUUGUCGUCAGCUCGUGCCGUGAGGUGUCGGCUUAAGUGCCAUAACGAGCGCAACCCUUAUCUUUAGUUACUAACAGGUCAUGCUGAGGACUCUAGAGAGACUGCCGUCGUAAGAUGUGAGGAAGGUGGGGAUGACGUCAAAUCAGCACGGCCCUUACGUCCGGGGCUACACACGUGUUACAAUGGGGGGUACAGAAGGCAGCUACCUGGUGACAGGAUGCUAAUCCCAAAAGCCUCUCUCAGUUCGGAUCGAAGUCUGCAACCCGACUUCGUGAAGCUGGAUUCGCUAGUAAUCGCGCAUCAGCCAUGGCGCGGUGAAUACGUUCCCGGGCCUUGUACACACCGCCCGUCAAGCCAUGAAAGCCGGGGGUACCUGAAGUACGUAACCGCAAGGAGCGUCCUAGGGUAAAACUGGUAAUUGGGGCUAAG
Molecule: ribosomal RNA, 1439 nt
Filed under: uncultured organism
Description: 16S ribosomal RNA
Rfam family: Bacterial small subunit ribosomal RNA
Source: RNAcentral